AAUUAUUUGACUGAAUGUUUAAGUAAAUACCUUGAAAGUAUUCAAAAAGAGUUUAAUUCUCUUAAUAAUUU
Molecule: transfer RNA, 71 nt
Filed under: Tomocerus qinae
Lineage: Eukaryota; Metazoa; Arthropoda; Collembola; Entomobryomorpha; Tomoceridae
Description: tRNA-Ser
Rfam family: tRNA
About the family: Transfer RNA (tRNA) molecules are approximately 80 nucleotides in length.
Source: RNAcentral